GGCAGAAGCACUUGCUUACCUAAGAGUAUGCCGAAGCCAAUUUACUGUUAAUGCCGAGUUGCUUUAUUCUAAGUGCAAAGGUGAAAUGAUUUCCACUCCUGACAGCUCUGGAAGAAUAACGGGAGCAUGGAGAAACACUGUCUUUGCCGAUGCCCCAACUCAGUCUUCUCCUCUGUACAGAUCCAUCAAGUUCCAGGCAUGACACGUGAUUGGCCUUAGUCCAUGGUGGAUGAAUGAACGACAUUCCCUGCACUCUCACCACUGAAUGUCAUGUGACCAGCCAUGAACCAUAAACCUGAACUUUGAGCAACUCAGUGGCAUCCUACAAUGAUCUUUGGCCCUUAUAUUUAUGAGUUUGUUUGUUUGGUUCAAAACCAUAAAGACACUAAGAGCUUCUUUGUCUAAGCUUUAUAUAUAACAGAGGAAUCUGCAGGAAAGAUUUCUCUUCUCAUAAACUCCACCCCAUCUGAAGUCCCUUUUCCCUUGUGCCCCGCGAUGCA
Molecule: long non-coding RNA, 500 nt
Organism: Homo sapiens (human)
Lineage: Eukaryota; Metazoa; Chordata; Mammalia; Primates; Hominidae
Exons: 3
Source: RefSeq, a predicted model, not a curated record